Pecten maximus is the source of this 530-nucleotide long non-coding RNA. RefSeq lists it as uncharacterized. NCBI's taxonomy places the organism in Eukaryota, Metazoa, Mollusca, Bivalvia, Pectinida, Pectinidae. The transcript is spliced from 4 exons. The record is from RefSeq and is a predicted model, not a curated record.
AGGUAUACAUUAGGAUUCGAUCAUCUUGACUAGUGAUGAGGUAUACAUUAGGAUUCGAUCAUCUUGACUAGUGAUGAGGUAUACAUUAGGAUUCGAUCAUCUUGACUAGUGAUGAGGUAUACAUUAGGAUUCGAUCAUCUUGACUAGUGAUGAGGUAUACAUUAGGAUUCGAUCAUCUUGACUAGUGAUGAGGUAUACAUUAGGAUUCGAUCAUCUUGACUAGUGAUGAGGUCUACAUUAGGAUUCGAUCAUCUUGACUAGUGAUGAGGUAUACAUUAGGAUUCGAUCAUCUUGACUAGUGAUGAGGUAUACAUUAGGAUUCGAUCAUCUUGACUAGUGAUGAGGUAUACAUUAGGAUUCGAUCAUCUUGACUAGUGAUGAGGUAUACAUUAGGAUUCGAAAUGCAUGAUUGUUAAAUCACUACAGUUGCUUACUAUAUAUACUGUAAUACUUACCAAUGUUUUGUUAUGAUAACUAAUUCUGACUUUCAGGCAAAAGAGGUUACAGAGGACGAGAAAUUCUCCUUUGAU